Molecule: long non-coding RNA, 452 nt
Organism: Maniola jurtina (meadow brown)
Lineage: Eukaryota; Metazoa; Arthropoda; Insecta; Lepidoptera; Nymphalidae
Exons: 2
Source: RefSeq, a predicted model, not a curated record
CUCAAGCCUUUAUUCACCAAAUUAAGUAUUUAAAUUUUUACAUAGGUCGCUACAUUGCAAAUUAGAAUACAAAAAAAAACCAUUAUUUUUACUACCACAUGUAGACAGUUAAUAGUUAAUAUUAUUUUUAUUUUGUAAUAUAUACCACAAAUAAUAUUAAGAAUUAUUAUUAGCAACACAGACAAAAUAUCUUUUCUGAAUAGAAAACUGAAAUUACCUACUCAAAAAGUAUAGUAAUUCAUAUUUCAGUGAAAUCAACUAACAUUUAUUUUGUAUACAUGCUUGAGCUUUUUAUUAUUAUUAUUUAAUAUCCACUUAAAACACAAAUUAUCAUUUCACAAAAUUCCCUUAGUACUUAAAUAUUUCAGGUAAAUAAUUAACAUUACAAAUCACAAUAAUAUUUAAAUAUGUAGAUAUGGCUUUCUAAGCUACUUCUUUUUUACAUUUCAUUA